This 468-nucleotide ribosomal RNA is filed under the name uncultured bacterium. RNAcentral's name for it is "partial 16S ribosomal RNA". It matches the Rfam family "Bacterial small subunit ribosomal RNA", at positions 28 to 507 of the family's 1533-position model. The record is from RNAcentral.
GACGAACGCUGGCGGCGUGCUUAACACAUGCAAGUCGAACGGAAAGGCCCUGCUUUUGUGGGGUGCUCGAGUGGCGAACGGGUGAGUAACACGUGAGUAACCUGCCCUUGACUUUGGGAUAACUUCAGGAAACUGGGGCUAAUAUCGGAUAGGAGCUCCUGCUGCAUGGUGGGGGUUGGAAAGUUUCGGCGGUUGGGGAUGGACUCGCGGCUUAGCAGCUUGUUGGUGGGGUAGUGGCUUACCAAGGCUUUGACGGGUAGCCGGCCUGAGAGGGUGACCGGCCACAUUGGGACUGAGAUACGGCCCAGACUCCUACGGGAGGCAGCAGUGGGGAAUAUUGCACAAUGGGCGGAAGCCUGAUGCAGCAACGCCGCGUGCGGGAUGACGGCCGUCGGGUUGUAAACCGCUUGCGCCUGUGACGAAGCGUGAGUGACGGUAAUGGGUAAAGAAGCACCGGCUAACUACGUG